AAUGCCGGAUAACAUGUUGAACCGCAUGGUUCUACAGUGAAAGACGGUCUUGCUGUCACUUAUAGAUGGACCCGCGCCGUAUUAGCUAGUUGGUGGGGUAACGGCCUACCAAGGCGACGAUACGUAGCCGACCUGAGAGGGUGAUCGGCCACACUGGAACUGAGACACGGUCCAGACUCCUACGGGAGGCAGCAGUAGGGAAUCUUCCGCAAUGGGCGAAAGCCUGACGGAGCAACGCCGCGUGAGUGAUGAAGGUCUUCGGAUCGUAAAGCUCUGUUGUUAGGGAAGAACAAAUGUGUAAGUAACUGUGCACAUCUUGACGGUACCUAACCAGAAAGCCACGGCUAACUACGUGCCAGCAGCCGCGGUAAUACGUAGGUGGCAAGCGUUAUCCGGAAUUAUUGGGCGUAAAGCGCGCGUAGGCGGUUUUUUAAGUCUGAUGUGAAAGCCCACGGCUCAACCGUGGAGGGUCAUUGGAAACUGGAAAACUUGAGUGCAGAAGAGGAAAGUGGAAUUCCAUGUGUAGCGGUGAAAUGCGCAGAGAUAUGGAGGAACACCAGUGGCGAAGGCGGCUUUCUGGUCUGCAACUGACGCUGAUGUGCGAAAGCGUGGGGAUCAAACAGGAUUAGAUACCCUGGUAGUCCACGCCGUAAACGAUGAGUGCUAAGUGUUAGGGGGUUUCCGCCCCUUAGUGCUGCAGCUAACGCAUUAAGCACUCCGCCUGGGGAGUACGGUCGCAAGACUGAAACUCAAAGGAAUUGACGGGGACCCGCACAAGCGGUGGAGCAUGUGGUUUAAUUCGAAGCAACGCGAAGAACCUUACCAAAUCUUGACAUCCUUUGACCGCUCUAGAGAUAGAGUUUUCCUCUUCGGAGGACAAAGUGACAGGUGGUGCAUGGUUGUCGUCAGCUCGUGUCGUGAGAUGUUGGGUUAAGUCCCGCAACGAGCGCAACCCUUGAACUUAGUUGCCAUCAUUCAGUUGGGCACUCUAAGUUGACUGCCGGUGACAAACCGGAGGAAGGUGGGGAUGACGUCAAAUCAUCAUGCCCCUUAUGAUUUGGGCUACACACGUGCUACAAUGGACAAUACAAAGGGCAGCGAAACCGCGAGGUCAAGCAAAUCCCAUAAAGUUGUUCUCAGUUCGGAUUGUAGUCUGCAACUCGACUACAUGAAGCUGGAAUCGCUAGUAAUCGUAGAUCAGCAUGCUACGGUGAAUACGUUCCCGGGUCUUGUACACACCGCCCGUCACACCACGAGAGUUUGUAACACCCG
RNAcentral lists this ribosomal RNA (1272 nucleotides) under Staphylococcus pseudintermedius. RNAcentral describes it as "bacterial SSU rRNA". It matches the Rfam family "Bacterial small subunit ribosomal RNA", at positions 165 to 1423 of the family's 1533-position model. The record is from RNAcentral. Lineage: Bacteria; Bacillati; Bacillota; Bacilli; Caryophanales; Staphylococcaceae.